Molecule: long non-coding RNA, 438 nt
Organism: Pyrus x bretschneideri (Chinese white pear)
Lineage: Eukaryota; Viridiplantae; Streptophyta; Magnoliopsida; Rosales; Rosaceae
Exons: 2
Source: RefSeq, a predicted model, not a curated record
UUUAGCGUACUAGCUUGGCUAGGGGAAUGAAGGAGCCAAACUUUAUACCUCUACUAAUGAAAAUGGUUUCCUUCCUUGUAUUGCUAUUGUUAUCAUCAAAAUUAGUUGUUGCCGAUGUUUCAGAAGAUCCAAUACACAAGGAUGCAGCAAGGAAGAUGAUCAUCAGUAGGUCGCAUCUGCAAAUCGAGAUGAUUUUGGCAGGGAACCGUCCAAUAGACGUACCAAUAGGUGAUAAACCACCGGGAUCGGGAUAAUAGCUAUAAUAAUGUGUCGCUGUUGCAUUGGUUCAAAGUGCCACGUCGACAAGCUUGUCAGAAGGAUGGCUAGGCUAAUAUCUCCAAGCAAGCCUGCCAGAAGAAUGAUUACUAUCUUUGUUUGUACCGAAUUUUUCAACAUGUUUGUAACACAACACUUACAAAUAAGUAUUUACAAGCAAAA